Molecule: transfer RNA, 72 nt
Filed under: Saccoglossus kowalevskii
Lineage: Eukaryota; Metazoa; Hemichordata; Enteropneusta; Harrimaniidae
Description: tRNA-Glu
Rfam family: tRNA
About the family: Transfer RNA (tRNA) molecules are approximately 80 nucleotides in length. Their secondary structure includes four short double-helical elements and three loops (D, anti-codon, and T loops).
Source: RNAcentral
UCCCAUAUGGUCUAGUGGUUAGGAUUUUGCGCUUUCACCGCCAAGGCCCAGGUUCAAUUCCCGGUUUGGAAC